RNAcentral lists this non-coding RNA (138 nucleotides) under Heterosigma akashiwo. The record is from RNAcentral. Lineage: Eukaryota; Raphidophyceae; Chattonellales; Chattonellaceae.
UUCUGGGGGGUCUCUAAAUCGCAAUUUACUUUUGCGCUUGCCACGGCUGAUUACAAGAUGCUUUCCAAGCUUUUUCUGAUCGCUUUCCUGGCCGUAUGGUCUGUUGCUCUUUCCUUCACCGUAAGGUCUGGGAUCCAC